RNAcentral lists this small RNA (29 nucleotides) under Bombyx mori (domestic silkworm). RNAcentral's name for it is "ovarian small RNA-13097". Lineage: Eukaryota; Metazoa; Arthropoda; Insecta; Lepidoptera; Bombycidae. The record is from RNAcentral.
CAGAAGUCGAGCAUCGCCUGCUAGGACUC